UACGUAGGGGGCGAGCGUUGUCCGGAUUUAUUGGGCGUAAAGAGCGUGUAGGCGGCCAAGUAAGUCCGGUGUGAAAACUCGAGGCUUAACCUCGAGAUGUCAUCGGAAACUAUUUGGCUAGAGUCCGGAAGAGGAGAGUGGAAUUCCUGGUGUAGCGGUGAAAUGCGCAGAUAUCAGGAAGAACACCUAUGGCGAAAGCAGCUCUCUGGGACGGUACUGACGCUGAGACGCGAAAGCGUGGGGAGCGAACAGG
Molecule: ribosomal RNA, 253 nt
Filed under: uncultured bacterium
Lineage: Bacteria
Description: partial 16S ribosomal RNA
Rfam family: Bacterial small subunit ribosomal RNA
Source: RNAcentral